ACAGCGGAAGCAAAAUCCACAACCGAAGCCCUAAUUUUUACGGAGGAUUCUCUCGAUUUAUUCGAUGUCCAAGUCCUGAUUUCCAACUGUUGAAGUUUUUGUACUGAGUGUUCGGAAGAGGUUUUCUCUUCAGUGGAAAUGAACGAGUUUUGCUCCAAAUCCCUAAUGUCAAUCAUGAUGCAGGAAAUUCAAAUAAAUUCACAAACAUAAUCUAAUAGAUGGGUAAAAGAACUCAAUUUUUUCUCCAUUAACGAAGAAAGCAUUAGGAUGCUUGAUGGAAACAAAGUUCAGAGAGAAACCGAAUUGAGUUCUCAAUAGAGAAGAGGGGAAGAUCAUAAGAGGCGUAGUACUAGAAUUCCAAAUUCUAUACAUAUGUAAUGUUGUUUUUCUUGAUGAUGUUGUGAAGCACAAGUGCUACAUUUAAAGGUAAAUGUUUUACCUUACUAUUUAUUAGGAUCAAAGUUGUCUUUUUAUUUUAAAGUCAAUAUUUUGAUUUGAUUUACUAUUCAAUUCGAAAUUUUGUUUUGUUAUCUCCUUGACAAUUGUUUAUGUUGCUACAUUUGCAGGGAAAAGUUGUAUCAGGUAUGAAAUAUUCACUUUCUUACACAAUUUGUUUUAUUAGGAUUUCAAGUUGUCUUUUUAGCUUAGCGUCAAUAUUUAGCUAAUCACAUUUAUCUUGUCUUGGACUACUUUUGUGUACUAUGCAGCUAGUAUUCAGGAUGUCAUCUACGUGGUAUAAGUAAACCACAAGCAUAUGUCGAUUGGAGAGACUGGAGAGACGGUGUGUGUUGCACUUAUAGAAUAGGAUUGAUGUAUUUUAAAUUUUGACAGUGUUUCAAAUUGCUUUCAAAACAGUAUUGCUACAGUCUGUGAUACAAAUUUGUAACAUUGUAUGCUGAAUUUUUAUAUCUAAUUGUUAUUUUUUUUUGGUAU
Erythranthe guttata (spotted monkey flower) is the source of this 933-nucleotide non-coding RNA. The record is from RefSeq and is a predicted model, not a curated record. NCBI's taxonomy places the organism in Eukaryota, Viridiplantae, Streptophyta, Magnoliopsida, Lamiales, Phrymaceae.